AAUAAGUGCAGUUUUAUACUAUUCACAUUCAAUGUUGACCGUUCGUCUUAUUUGAAAAUUUUUUAUGAUUAGUAUUUUUAUUGCUAUUAGAUGAUAAAACAUAAAUAGUACUUUAUGUGUGACUAAAUAUUUUUAAUUUUUUCAUAAAUUUUUUAAAUAAAACGAAUGGUCAAACGUUAGGCACGAAUAUCUAUGGCUGCACUUAUU
MicroRNA precursor from Oryza sativa Indica Group (long-grained rice), 207 nucleotides. It matches the Rfam family "MIR812 microRNA precursor family". Lineage: Eukaryota; Viridiplantae; Streptophyta; Magnoliopsida; Poales; Poaceae. The record is from Rfam.